Molecule: ribosomal RNA, 293 nt
Filed under: uncultured Pseudomonas sp.
Lineage: Bacteria; Pseudomonadati; Pseudomonadota; Gammaproteobacteria; Pseudomonadales; Pseudomonadaceae
Description: partial 16S ribosomal RNA
Rfam family: Bacterial small subunit ribosomal RNA
Source: RNAcentral
GUAACGAGCGCAACCCUGUCCUAGUUACCAGCACGUUAUGGUGGGCACUCUAAGGAGACUGCCGGUGACAAACCGGAGGAAGGUGGGGAUGACGUCAAGUCAUCAUGGCCCUUACGGCCUGGGCUACACACGUGCUACAAUGGUCGGUACAAAGGGGUUGCCAAGCCGCGAGGUGGAGCUAAUCCCAUAAAACCGAUCGUAGUCCGGAUCGCAGUCUGCAACUCGACUGCGUGAAGUCGGAAUCGCUAGUAAUCGUGAAUCAGAAUGUCACGGUGAAUACGUUCCCGGGCCUU